UCUAAUAAAGUUUAGCUUAUUAAACUUGGCAUCUGGUGGAUGCUUUCUUUCCGUUCUCGACUCCUGAGCAGAGCAGAAGUGCGCGUCUUGAAGUAGUAGUUACUAGUAACAGUAGUUAAAAUUACUAGGCAAGUUACAACUAAAGAUUAAUUACUCAAAUGAAAUUUAUUAAGUGCUAGUUAGGACCAAUACAACACGUUAAAAGCUAAAAUUGUUAGUUAAACGGAAACGAACAAGAACAACACGUGUAAGCACUACGAGCAAAAAUAAGAAG
This is a long non-coding RNA of Sabethes cyaneus, 274 nucleotides long. RefSeq lists it as uncharacterized. The record is from RefSeq and is a predicted model, not a curated record. The transcript has 3 exons. NCBI's taxonomy places the organism in Eukaryota, Metazoa, Arthropoda, Insecta, Diptera, Culicidae.